This 484-nucleotide ribosomal RNA is filed under the name uncultured bacterium. RNAcentral describes it as "partial 16S ribosomal RNA". It matches the Rfam family "Bacterial small subunit ribosomal RNA", at positions 30 to 507 of the family's 1533-position model. The record is from RNAcentral.
AUUGAACGCUGGCGGCAGGCCUAACACAUGCAAGUCGAGCGGAGGAAGGGAGCUUGCUCCUGGAUUCAGCGGCGGACGGGUGAGUAAUGCCUAGGAAUCUGCCUGGUAGUGGGGGAUAACGUCCGGAAACGGGCGCUAAUACCGCAUACGUCCUGAGGGAGAAAGUGGGGGAUCUUCGGACCUCACGCUAUCAGAUGAGCCUAGGUCGGAUUAGCUAGUUGGUGGGGUAAAGGCCUACCAAGGCGACGAUCCGUAACUGGUCUGAGAGGAUGAUCAGUCACACUGGAACUGAGACACGGUCCAGACUCCUACGGGAGGCAGCAGUGGGGAAUAUUGGACAAUGGGCGAAAGCCUGAUCCAGCCAUGCCGCGUGUGUGAAGAAGGUCUUCGGAUUGUAAAGCACUUUAAGUUGGGAGGAAGGGCAGUAAGUUAAUACCUUGCUGUUUUGACGUUACCAACAGAAUAAGCACGGGCUAACUUCGUG